Amphimedon queenslandica is the source of this 227-nucleotide long non-coding RNA. RefSeq lists it as uncharacterized. Lineage: Eukaryota; Metazoa; Porifera; Demospongiae; Haplosclerida; Niphatidae. The transcript is spliced from 3 exons. The record is from RefSeq and is a predicted model, not a curated record.
UCUCUCUCUCUUUUUCUCAUCUCCAGUUCUGCUAAAGAUUCUGUUAGAGGAGAGAGGAUAGCCAUCAAGAAGCUUGUAAAACCUUUCCAGAACGAGACCUAUGCCAAGAGAGCGUUUAGGGAACUGAAACUGAUGAAGAUGGUGAACCACAAGAAUGUUAUCGGUUUGUUGAAUCUCUUUAGCCCGGCUCAUUCUAUUGAGGAUUUUGAGGAUGUUUAUAUUGUGAU